AUGGCAUCAUCUUCAUGGGAAAAAUGGCCUGAUCAUGUGCGGGAUAAAUGGCAUGAUGAUUUGAGAGAUAUAGAUUUUUGGUUUAAUAGAUAUCAUGAAGAGGAUGAUGCAGGUCUUAAGUUCACUAUUAAUCCAUGGAGGUAUUGGAAUGUUGGGGCGGGGCCCAUGGCUUCCUUCAGACUAGCCAUGUCAGGCAUGGUUGAGGGAAUCUGUGAGAGCUUUGGGCCCUUCAAACCCGUGAUAAAGGUGGAUCUGAAGCCCACGCCAACUGUAGAUGAAGCACAAGGAACAAGGUUCAUGAGCAUCAAGUACCAGUUAGCCGUCGCUGCGGCAGAGGAGUUGGGGCUACUCGACCAAGAAUAUAACAGGCUGAAGGAAGAGCACGAUGAGUUGCAGUUUUACACCUACGGGUGCAGUGGUACCGGUGCCUCUCAUAAUUUGGAGAAUCGUGUGCGGUACACUAUAGUUCCUCAGAUCGUCAAGAAGUUGUCAACCGAGAAGUAUUUGCUAGUGGUCAAUAACCUCCGGUGGCCAAUUGUGCCUGACAGUUUUAUACAGGAUUGCGGGUUCCCUCCCCCGCUGUGGACAGAUUCUAAGUGGCUCAUCUCAACCACUUCUGAGGAUGUCUGCAACAAGAGCAAGCUGGAAGACGAUUGGGUUAUACCCUAUCCCACAGAUAGGGAUGUUGUGGCGCUUACCCUCUCUGCACUGCGUGAAUCGGCACAUCACAUACUCAACAUGACCCAUCAAGAAAGCAAGGAAUACUGGCAUCACAUAGCCCUCAAUUGCUUCCACUUUGCCAUGGUGAUCUUUGCCAAACAUUCACAGAUGGCAGCGGUUACCUCGGACGAGCUCAUCCAUCAUUGGGCCACCCAAGGCAUCUUGCCUCGUAUGACCAGUAGUGAAGAAGAAAAAGAAACCAACAUCUGCAGCAGCAAGUGUGCCUAUAUGCAUCGAGUUGGAAGGGUCAUCCUUGAAGCAUUUGAGAAAUACUCUUUGUUGCAGCUACCAUUCUCUCCUGCCAAUGAAGCUCAUGAAGCCACCAAUACUGCUGCACAAUUCCUUGCAUACCAUGCCCUCAUUGCAGAAGGCAUGACAGUAGGUGAACUCGCGGAUCAUAAGAAAAAAUGGAUCGCCUUUUUGGAUGAUCAUGGAUGUCAUGUAAGCCGAGAAUGGUUGGGGCCGGGGGAAACUAGGGGGGCAACUGCACUUAUUCUAAGAGGUUGCUCACACCAAUCGGUCAUACUUUGCAAGCUGGGCCAUAUCCUGCCCAAACUUAUAUUUCUUCAUUGUCUUGAUCUCUCUUACACUCAACUGAAAACACUCCCUUCUUCUAUCGAAUGUCUAAUAAACCUUCGACUGCUUUCACUUAGAGGCUGCCAUGAUCUCAAAACUCUUUCCAGUUCACCCACAACAAGUGCCACAGACUCGUCAACAAAUACUACGUCAUAUUCCCCAUUAUCCACUCUAUACAAGCUUGAAAUUCUUGAUAUGAAUGGAGUUCCUUUUUCUCAUAUAACACAAAAUGUAGCCAACCAAAAGAGCAACUUGAUUUACCUCAACAUGUCCUAUUCAAAAAUAUCUACUUUUCCACCAAAUGUUUUUCGGGACAUGUCAAAUCUUGAAGUGCUUAUUCUUGCCAGCUGCUCCAACCUUCUCCAGCUUCCUCCUUCCAUGGCAUUGCUAUCCAGCCUAGUAACCCUUGAAGUCACAGGGACCCAAAUAAAAUGCUUCCCGCCGAAGAUAUUUGAAGAAAUGCAGAAGCUUCAGUCGCUCAAGCUCAUCGACAACAAGAAAUUGAUUUCACUCACAAGACCAAUCUCUAGGUUUCAGGGAAUCAAGUUGGAAGGGCAUCCUAACCUUAUAUCAUUCGUCUUGAUCGGCGCACCUCACGUAAGGUGCUUGUCUUUGCGUGGAUGUAGGAAACUCGAGUCCGUCGAGAUAAAGAAUCUUGGUGCGUUGGAAGAGCUAGAUUUGUCCGGUACAACUAUCAAGGAGCUCCCUGCUGACAUCCCCAAUAUGCCCCAUCUUAGGAGAUUGCUCCUACUUGGUGUUCCUUCUCUGAGGCGAUUUCCUUGGCAUAGGCUGGAGCGACUCCCUGAUGUGUUUUUCUUGGAUAAUUGCUCAGAAGGAAAUGGUAAUCACUCUAAUCAAGUUUCCCAAGUGUGUGUUACUGACGCCAGGUUCUUCUAUAGCUUCCAUCGCAAUGCUCUGAAUUUAGUAAGACAUGGGAAGUUUUUCCAAUCAUUUUAUAUUCGAGUUGCACCAUGCAUUACAAAUAGUAUGCAACUGCAACUGCAAGAUGAAGAAAUCAUGCUAGCUAACAAGCUGGACGAGUUGCUACAGAAACAGUUAACAUAUGUAGAUGUAUAUAGCAGAUAUUUUGCAGAGAAAAUUGCUAUUGCCCCACAAAUUAGAGUUCCCCUUCACCGAACUAAGCGGCAUGUGGAUAUCACAGGCGGGCAACAGUCACACAAUGGUUUAGCAUACCUUCUGCAUAUCACGAAAUCAAUAUCAGUGACAUAUGAUACUUCUAUCAAGUCUUUUUCUAACUUGAGCGGUUUUGAUGAGCUGGAAGAAUGUGAGCUUCAAUGGUGCCACAAAAUAGACACCGUUUUCCACAACUUCAUGGAAAAUCUACGGAAUGUGCAUGUGUCCAACCUCAAAAGUCUAGUUAGAUUCUGUUCACCAUACUGUUUUGUUGAAUUCAGUUCACUAGAGCAUCUACACCUGGAGAACUGCCCCAGAUUGGAGAUCCUGAUGACAUAUGGUGCAUCAGCACUACCAUGUCUCAAGACACUUGACAUCAUGUUUUGCUACAACCUCAAGAAACUAUUCUACAGUUAUGAAGAUCAAGAUCGUGCUUAUGAGCUCCCGAGCCUCCAAAGGAUACGUCUACAGGAGUUGCCACUGCUAAAGCACUUUGAUGACAAUGAUGCCAUCAUAACGGCACCGGCAUGGGAGGAGCUCCAUGUCCGGGGGUGCUGGAGCCUUCAACGCCUCCCGCACCUACAAGGACGCCAGCCGGAGAUAGUGAAGGUGAACUGUGAGAGGAGCUGGUGGGGCAAACUCCAGUGGGGGCCACUCCCACACCAUAACAACUAUGAACCGAAGCUACCCCCAGAGUUUGCCUCAUUCGACGAGUCUGCCGACAUGAGCAGCUACCUCAGAUGA
Molecule: ribosomal RNA, 3174 nt
Filed under: Triticum aestivum (bread wheat)
Lineage: Eukaryota; Viridiplantae; Streptophyta; Magnoliopsida; Poales; Poaceae
Description: partial small subunit ribosomal RNA
Source: RNAcentral